GACGAACGCUGGCGGCGUGCCUAAUACAUGCAAGUCGAGCGGACGAAUCGAAAGCUUGCUUUUGAUUCGUUAGCGGCGGACGGGUGAGUAACACGUGGGCAACCUGCCCUGUAGACGGGGAUAACACCGAGAAAUCGGUGCUAAUACCGGAUAACACGAAAUGUCGCAUGACGUUUCGUUGAAAGACGGCGCAAGCUGUCGCUACAGGAUGGGCCCGCGGCGCAUUAGCUAGUUGGUGAGGUAACGGCUCACCAAGGCGACGAUGCGUAGCCGACCUGAGAGGGUGAUCGGCCACACUGGGACUGAGACACGGCCCAGACUCCUACGGGAGGCAGCAGUAAGGAAUCUUCCGCAAUGGACGAAAGUCUGACGGAGCAACGCCGCGUGAGCGAAGAAGGCCUUCGGGUCGUAAAGCUCUGUUGUUAGGGAAGAACAAGUAACGCAGUAACUGGCGUUACCGUGACGGUACCUAACGAGAAAGCCGCGGCUAACUACGUG
This 498-nucleotide ribosomal RNA is filed under the name uncultured bacterium. RNAcentral's name for it is "partial 16S ribosomal RNA". It matches the Rfam family "Bacterial small subunit ribosomal RNA", at positions 28 to 507 of the family's 1533-position model. The record is from RNAcentral.